RNAcentral lists this ribosomal RNA (1546 nucleotides) under Vibrio aestuarianus subsp. cardii. RNAcentral's name for it is "partial 23S ribosomal RNA". It matches the Rfam family "Bacterial large subunit ribosomal RNA", at positions 698 to 2228 of the family's 2925-position model. The record is from RNAcentral. Lineage: Bacteria; Pseudomonadati; Pseudomonadota; Gammaproteobacteria; Vibrionales; Vibrionaceae.
AGUCUCUGGAUAUAGACCCGAAACCGAGUGAUCUAGCCAUGGGCAGGUUGAAGAUUGAGUAACAUCAAUUGGAGGACCGAACCGACUAAUGUUGAAAAAUUAGCGGAUGACUUGUGGCUAGGGGUGAAAGGCCAAUCAAACUCGGAGAUAGCUGGUUCUCCCCGAAAGCUAUUUAGGUAGCGCCUCGGACGAAUACUACUGGGGGUAGAGCACUGUUAAGGCUAGGGGGUCAUCCCGACUUACCAACCCUUUGCAAACUCCGAAUACCAGUAAGUACUAUCCGGGAGACACACGGCGGGUGCUAACGUCCGUCGUGGAGAGGGAAACAACCCAGACCGCCAGCUAAGGUCCCAAAUUACUACUAAGUGGGAAACGAUGUGGGAAGGCUCAGACAGCCAGGAUGUUGGCUUAGAAGCAGCCAUCAUUUAAAGAAAGCGUAAUAGCUCACUGGUCGAGUCGGCCUGCGCGGAAGAUGUAACGGGGCUAAGUAGUAAACCGAAGCUGCGGCUGCAAUCGUAAGAUUGUGGGGUAGGGGAGCGUUCUGUAAGCCGUUGAAGGUGUGUUGUAAAGCAUGCUGGAGGUAUCAGAAGUGCGAAUGCUGACAUGAGUAACGAUAAUGGGGGUGAAAAACCCCCACGCCGGAAGACCAAGGGUUCCUGUCCAACGUUAAUCGGGGCAGGGUAAGUCGACCCCUAAGGCGAGGCUGAAAAGCGUAGUCGAUGGGAAACGGGUUAAUAUUCCCGUACUGCUUAUAAUUGCGAUGGGGGGACGGAGAAGGCUAGGUGGGCCUGGCGACGGUUGUCCAGGUUCAAGUGCGUAGGCUAAGAGACUAGGUAAAUCCGGUUUCUUGUUAGGCUGAGACACGACGUCGAGCACCUACGGGUGUGAAGUCAUUGAUGCCAUGCUUCCAGGAAAAGCCUCUAAGCUUCAGAUUAUAAGCAAUCGUACCCCAAACCGACACAGGUGGUCGGGUAGAGAAUACCAAGGCGCUUGAGAGAACUCGGGUGAAGGAACUAGGCAAAAUGGUACCGUAACUUCGGGAGAAGGUACGCUCUUGGCGGUGAAGUCCCUAGCGGAUGGAGCUACUGAGAGUCGCAGAUACCAGGUGGCUGCAACUGUUUAUUAAAAACACAGCACUGUGCAAAAUCGUAAGAUGACGUAUACGGUGUGACGCCUGCCCGGUGCCGGAAGGUUAAUUGAUGGGGUUAGACUUAGGUCGAAGCUCUUGAUCGAAGCCCCGGUAAACGGCGGCCGUAACUAUAACGGUCCUAAGGUAGCGAAAUUCCUUGUCGGGUAAGUUCCGACCUGCACGAAUGGCGUAAUGAUGGCCACGCUGUCUCCACCCGAGACUCAGUGAAAUUGAAAUCGCUGUGAAGAUGCAGUGUACCCGCGGCUAGACGGAAAGACCCCGUGAACCUUUACUACAGCUUGGCACUGAACAUUGAACCUACAUGUGUAGGAUAGGUGGGAGACUUAGAAGCGCAGUCGCUAGAUUGCGUGGAGUCGUCCUUGAAAUACCACCCUUGUAGUUUUGAUGUUCUAACGU